Molecule: non-coding RNA, 313 nt
Filed under: Pyrobaculum arsenaticum DSM 13514
Lineage: Archaea; Thermoproteati; Thermoproteota; Thermoprotei; Thermoproteales; Thermoproteaceae
Source: RNAcentral
GGCGGGGGGCUGCGCGGCGUGCCGGCCGCGCGCCGCCGAAAGGCGGACCCAGGCUAGGGAGCCCGAAACUGGGGCCGGGCGGCGCCUCCUGCGGCGUCCCGUCUUGGCUUACCGAUGAGCACCGGUCCAGGGGGGCGCCGGUCCCCAGGCUACCCCGGCCGUAGGGCCGGGGGGACUUGGGUAUGCGGGGAACAGGCGGAGGUCCGGGAGGGAGCACGCCUAACCCGUAGCCGGCGCGUUCCCUGGGGCGCCGGUGGGAGAGACGCCCAGGCGGGCGCCGUAAGGAGACGCCGUCGGUCCCAGGUUGCCGCCG